UUUCUGAUCUCUCUCUCCGAAUCCGGAUCCAUUCUCAUUCUCAAUCUCGAUCUCAUUCACCUCUCUCUCUCUCUCUCUCUCUCUCUCUCUCUCACGCCGGUGAUUCAGGAUCGACCUCCUUGCUCUUCUCCAGCAGAUCUUGUUGUCAGUUAGCGUCGGGAAUGGUGAAGGCGUCGGUGACGCCGAUUUGGAUGAGGAGGCAGGCUAGGUGGCUGCCGAGGGUGGGGUCGGCGUAGUUGAACACGGUGGAGGGGACUGAGUUUUGAACGGUGGAAGCGGCGCCGUUUGGUAUACAGCCGGCAUCGUGGUUCUCGGCCUUGCAAACGUCAAUUGAGCCAAUCUCGACUCGGCAUUGUCAACGAUUUCGCAGACGGCGCUUAAAUUUCAGAGAAGCCUCCGCCUUCUCUCUGUCAAACAGGUGGAGCUGGCGAAGGUGCUGUGGAGAUGGGGCAAAGUCAUCUAUUCAAUUAUUAGGCCGAGCCAGGAGUCGAUGAUGAGGAAAAGAAAGUGCUCUUUGAUCAGUGGUUGAUUUCGAAAAUCAUGUGAAUUUGAGUAGUGAAGGCUCUAUUGACCAAGAGAUCAUCCGGCCAACCAAGAAAUUUUGAAAUGAAGCUUGGUGUUGUAGGUGGCAAAAUAAUGCCUAUGGUUAGUGUAGAGUGGUAGAGCUUGACAAGAAGAAACAUCAAUGGUGGCCAUUUGAAAUAUGACACUAGUAUCACAAUAUGGACAGUAGCUUUCUACAACUAUUGUAAUAGAUUUUCACAACUAUGGUAGUGGUUUUUUACAACUAUGAAAGUAGCUUUUUACAUGGUUAUAUCAUUGUUGGAUCCUGCAUACUUUUUAUAUCAUUGAAUUUGUUUUCUU
Molecule: long non-coding RNA, 864 nt
Organism: Rosa rugosa (rugosa rose)
Lineage: Eukaryota; Viridiplantae; Streptophyta; Magnoliopsida; Rosales; Rosaceae
Exons: 3
Source: RefSeq, a predicted model, not a curated record